Molecule: ribosomal RNA, 1069 nt
Filed under: Lactiplantibacillus sp.
Lineage: Bacteria; Bacillati; Bacillota; Bacilli; Lactobacillales; Lactobacillaceae
Description: bacterial SSU rRNA
Rfam family: Bacterial small subunit ribosomal RNA
Source: RNAcentral
GAGCCACCGCCCGCGUGAGUGAAGAAGGGUUUCGGCUUCGUAAAACUCUGGUUGUUAAAGAAGAACAUAUCUGAGGGGUAACUGUUCAGGUAUUGACGGUAUUUACCAGAAAGCACGGCUAACUACGUGCCAGCAGCCGCGGUAAUACGUAGGUGGCAAGCGUUGUCCGGAUUUAUUGGGCGUAAAGCGAGCGCAGGCGGUUUUUAAGUCUGAUGUGAAAGCCUUCGGCUCAACCGAAGAAGUGCAUCGGAAACUGGGAAACUUGAGUGCAGAAGAGGACAGUGGAACUCCAUGUGUAGCGGUGAAAUGCGUAGAUAUAUGGAAGAACACCAGUGGCGAAGGCGGCUGUCUGGUCUGUAACUGACGCUGAGGCUCGAAAGUAUGGGUAGCAAACAGGAUUAGAUACCCUGGUAGUCCAUACCGUAAACGAUGAAUGCUAAGUGUUGGAGGGUUUCCGCCCUUCAGUGCUGCAGCUAACGCAUUAAGCAUUCCGCCUGGGGAGUACGGCCGCAAGGCUGAAACUCAAAGGAAUUGACGGGGGCCCGCACAAGCGGUGGAGCAUGUGGUUUAAUUCGAAGCUACGCGAAGAACCUUACCAGGUCUUGACAUACUAUGCAAAUCUAAGAGAUUAGACGUUCCCUUCGGGGACAUGGAUACAGGUGGUGCAUGGUUGUCGUCAGCUCGUGUCGUGAGAUGUUGGGUUAAGUCCCGCAACGAGCGCAACCCUUAUUAUCAGUUGCCAGCAUUAAGUUGGGCACUCUGGUGAGACUGCCGGUGACAAACCGGAGGAAGGUGGGGAUGACGUCAAAUCAUCAUGCCCCUUAUGACCUGGGCUACACACGUGCUACAAUGGAUGGUACAACGAGUUGCGAACUCGCGAGAGUAAGCUAAUCUCUUAAAGCCAUUCUCAGUUCGGAUUGUAGGCUGCAACUCGCCUACAUGAAGUCGGAAUCGCUAGUAAUCGCGGAUCAGCAUGCCGCGGUGAAUACGUUCCCGGGCCUUGUACACACCGCCCGUCACACCAUGAGAGUUUGUAACACCCAAAGUCGGUGGGGUAACCUUUUAGGAA